UACGUAUGGAGCAAGCGUUAUCCGGAUUUACUGGGUGUAAAGGGAGCGUAGGCGGUCGUUUAAGUCUGAUGUGAAAACCCGAGGCUCAACCACGGGACUGCAUUGGAAACUGGGCGACUAGAGUGUCGGAGAGGCAAGUGGAAUUCCUAGUGUAGCGGUGAAAUGCAUAGAUAUUAGGAGGAACACCAGUGGCGAAGGCGGCUUGCUGGACGAUCACUGACGCUGAGACUCGAAAGCGUGGGGAG
RNAcentral lists this ribosomal RNA (245 nucleotides) under uncultured Lachnospiraceae bacterium. RNAcentral's name for it is "partial 16S ribosomal RNA". It matches the Rfam family "Bacterial small subunit ribosomal RNA", at positions 524 to 768 of the family's 1533-position model. The record is from RNAcentral. Lineage: Bacteria; Bacillati; Bacillota; Clostridia; Lachnospirales; Lachnospiraceae.